Punica granatum (pomegranate) is the source of this 737-nucleotide non-coding RNA. The record is from RefSeq and is a predicted model, not a curated record. NCBI's taxonomy places the organism in Eukaryota, Viridiplantae, Streptophyta, Magnoliopsida, Myrtales, Lythraceae.
GUCACAAGCAAAUAACAUCAUUCGAGUUCUCAAUCACGAAACCACAUACCGCCCUCUAGUCUUGGUUAAGGUUCUUCCUCGGACCAUCCGCAUCAGCGUCGCAGAUGAAAUCAGCUGAAGGCUGAAGCAUAUGCUGUCCUCUGAGGGAAUUGAUGAUGGAGAGAUCUCAACCAGAGUAUUGCACUAAUGAUGUGCUCGAUGCUGGCAGUAAAGAACAACUCCAAGAUCAUCGUGUUAAACAAGAAUUCGAAUCCUCUGCCCAUAAAAGGCAGAGCGUUGAGCAAAAGUCCGAUAAAUCUUUGAUGGAAUUACAGCAGGAUCAACAUGCUGAGGAGUAUAAUAAGGAUCAAAGUAAGGAUGCUGACGAUUGCUCGAAUGGGUUAUGUAAGUCACCCAGUGAGCUUCUUCUCCACAUCCGAUGUUUCCUUCCAUUAAUGGAUGCUGUGAGGACGAGUAUCUUAUUGAAAAAGUGGGGGCACCUGUGGGCCGUGGUUCUUGACCUUCACUUUCCUGAGAGCCAGAGGUCUCUCUUCCUGGAGUUUGUGGGACGAGCAUGUGCUCUUCGUAGCUCACGUUUUAUGAGAUCCUCUUUUCUAUCGUGCAUGUGACGACAUUAGGGGUGUUGUACCUCCGAUUACAAAAUUGACUCUACUUGUGUUGUAAAAAUAUGUCGUGUGCGGGAUCUCCAUCUACUCAUCCCUAGACAUGGUAAUCCCUAUAAAUUACCUUUCUCUCCA